This 497-nucleotide ribosomal RNA is filed under the name uncultured bacterium. Its description in RNAcentral is "partial 16S ribosomal RNA". It matches the Rfam family "Bacterial small subunit ribosomal RNA", at positions 28 to 507 of the family's 1533-position model. The record is from RNAcentral.
GAUGAACGCUGGCGGCGUGCCUAAUACAUGCAAGUCGAGCGAACAGACGAGGAGCUUGCUCCUCUGACGUUAGCGGCGGACGGGCGAGUAACACGUGGAUAACCUACCGUUAAGACUGGGAUAACUUCGGGAAACCGGAGCUAAUACCGGAUAAUAUAUUGAACCGCAUGGUUCAAUAGUGAAAGACGGUUUUGCUGUCACUUAUAGAUGGAUCCGCGCCGCAUUAGCUAGUUGGUAAGGUAACGGCUUACCAAGGCAACGAUGCGUAGCCGACCUGAGAGGGUGAUCGGCCACACUGGAACUGAGACACGGUCCAGACUCCUACGGGAGGCAGCAGUAGGGAAUCUUCCGCAAUGGGCGAAAGCCUGACGGAGCAACGCCGCGUGAGUGAUGAAGGUCUUCGGAUCGUAAAACUCUGUUAUUAGGGAAGAACAAAUGUGUAAGUAACUAUGCACGUCUUGACGGUACCUAAUCAGAAAGCCACGGCUAACUACGUG